RNAcentral lists this ribosomal RNA (253 nucleotides) under uncultured bacterium. RNAcentral describes it as "partial 16S ribosomal RNA". It matches the Rfam family "Bacterial small subunit ribosomal RNA", at positions 524 to 776 of the family's 1533-position model. The record is from RNAcentral.
UACGGAGGGAGCUAGCGUUGUUCGGAAUUACUGGGCGUAAAGCGCGCGUAGGCGGCUUUGUAAGUUAGAGGUGAAAGCCCGGGGCUCAACCCCGGAAUUGCCUUUAAGACUGCAUCGCUUGAAUCCGGGAGAGGUGAGUGGAAUUCCGAGUGUAGAGGUGAAAUUCGUAGAUAUUCGGAAGAACACCAGUGGCGAAGGCGGCUCACUGGACCGGUAUUGACGCUGAGGCGCGAAAGCUAGGGGAGCAAACAGG